Molecule: non-coding RNA, 72 nt
Organism: Pangasianodon gigas (Mekong giant catfish)
Lineage: Eukaryota; Metazoa; Chordata; Actinopteri; Siluriformes; Pangasiidae
Source: the annotation of a GenBank genome assembly
GAUAUGGGCAGUAUUGAUUGAUGCUGGGAUUGGGGCAGUAUUGAUCAAUGCUGGGAUUGGGGCGGUAGUGAU